Molecule: long non-coding RNA, 1876 nt
Organism: Olea europaea var. sylvestris
Lineage: Eukaryota; Viridiplantae; Streptophyta; Magnoliopsida; Lamiales; Oleaceae
Exons: 2
Source: RefSeq, a predicted model, not a curated record
ACGAUUAUCUAGACAGUGACAUUUUGUAACUAUGACAAUGUCUCAAAUUCUUAUUGAUAAAAUAAUGUAGAUGAUUGUUCUGAAGAAAUGAAUGUAUUACAUCCCUUUCUGGAUUUGCAGGCUGGCAUGCAUUUUUUCUUGGUUCUAUUUUAUGUAACAGUGUUGUAAAACAACUCUACCACAUGGGAAUUUUUUUUGAGGCAGAAGUAUUAUGUACCUGUUUGGCAGAUUUCAAAGAUCCAUAUAAUAACGUUUUGUUUAGUCCUUUGGUGUCAGAUAUCUAUUGUAAUAUUCAACCAGAUUGAACUUGUUGAAACUAUAUGCUUCUAUUAUGUAGUCCUACCGUGUGCAGUGCAUAGAUGAAAACCAAUUGCACACCUAGAACUGUAUUAUUAAAUUCGCAUAUUUAAUAUUCCAAAGAGCCAUGCAUCAUAUCAUUUUAAAGUCAUAAAGGAAAUGACAUCUUUUAGGUGUUUAAGAAGCUACUAAUUCAAAGUGGCUUUAGUUCUGCUCAUUAUAUUGGAGUUUUAUGACAUGAACUCAUUUGUGAUCAGCUUUGCGUUGCACGAUGCUACUUAAUGCUAUUUGCCAUUGAUUUGUAAUGCUUGUAAGCUAUUAUUAGUUUGAUUUUCUCCAUACAUUUUUGGCAGCACAUAUUCUUCUGGUUUUGAAUGUUAUUGAUCGACAUUCAAUUCCCUGCAUUUUCCAGGGCCACAGUUGGAGGCAUGCUUCAAUUGCUUCCAAAUGCUUAAUGAUGAUCUAAGAGUCACAUUUCUCUUGGCACAAACUAUUUGACAAUUCUGUCUGCCACUUUCUCUGAGAUUUGACAAAUGUACAGCCAGGCUCUGGUAUCUCUAUUUAAUCUAUGUAAAUGUUUAACUUAAUUUCAGGCUUAUCUUGAUUUGUCAAUUUUGUCAUUAUGCUGGAGGAGGAAGUAUAUAGCUUAUUUCCAAGCAUAGCUCUUAUUUACGUCCAACAUUUUUUUUUUUGGGUGUUCAAUAACUGCAAAACUCGCACCAAAGCAACAUAUUUGCAAAGCUAUAUGAAGCACCAUUCUACUAAAUAACUGACGUGUUCUUUAAGACUGAAAUCUGUUUUUAGAAUUAAUAUAGUUAAAUGUUCAUUCUUUAUAAAUGUAACAUAUAAAUGAAUAUAGUUAUAUACACAGUAUAUAAAUAUAUAUUUGAGAUAUGCAAUCACUACUUAUUGCUGUCAUUAGUUUUAAUUUUCAUCAUAGCAUGUAAACCAGUUUAACAAAAUGCAUAGCUGCUGCUUCAGUAACAUCAGAGUUCUCCAUCAGACCUAUCUUAAGAUUUAUUAUGUAUCAAACCCAACUUCUACUUAGCAGUGCAAUACAGCAGGUGCGGCCCAAAAAGAGUUAUAUUCAGGUUCAUGCUGCAUCUUUAGGCUGGCUGUUCACCUGCAUUUCUAUGGUGCUUGUGGAGCUCUUUUGACUUGGUUGGCAUGAGAUUUCCUCCAAGAAGCAACUCAAUGGAGAAAAUAUAAUUAAAAAGUUGGACUAGAUUCAUUGCUGACCCUCCUCCAAGGAGACAAUUCUGGAGUGGAGAAGUAGAGGCAAUCAAGCACAUAAGAAAUAUAGCUCCCGUUUGAGUCACAAUAUUGUAAAAAUGAGAAUGAAAAAUAUAGUCGUUAUGAACCCCACACAAAAGAUAAAAAGUCAAGAUGUCUUGAUGUAAUGAAUAACGGUCAUAUUUUUCAUUUUAAUGAGGAAAUAAUGAAACUCAAAUAGGGCCAUAUUAAAGAGAUGAGAAAGGCUGCUCUACCAGGCCUGUUUGUGAGGAGCCUUGUAUUCUCAAGUGAGAUUUCUGUAUAAUUUGAUGUGCAUUGAUAUCUAGUUGAUCGCGGAGUUCGUUUG